RNAcentral lists this ribosomal RNA (2868 nucleotides) under Escherichia coli 2-210-07_S4_C1. RNAcentral's name for it is "bacterial LSU rRNA". It matches the Rfam family "Bacterial large subunit ribosomal RNA". The record is from RNAcentral. Lineage: Bacteria; Pseudomonadati; Pseudomonadota; Gammaproteobacteria; Enterobacterales; Enterobacteriaceae.
GGCAGUCAGAGGCGAUGAAGGACGUGCUAAUCUGCGAUAAGCGUCGGUAAGGUGAUAUGAACCGUUAUAACCGGCGAUUUCCGAAUGGGGAAACCCAGUGUGAUUCGUCACACUAUCAUUAACUGAAUCCAUAGGUUAAUGAGGCGAACCGGGGGAACUGAAACAUCUAAGUACCCCGAGGAAAAGAAAUCAACCGAGAUUCCCCCAGUAGCGGCGAGCGAACGGGGAGCAGCCCAGAGCCUGAAUCAGUGUGUGUGUUAGUGGAAGCGUCUGGAAAGGCGCGCGAUACAGGGUGACAGCCCCGUACACAAAAAUGCACAUGCUGUGAGCUCGAUGAGUAGGGCGGGACACGUGGUAUCCUGUCUGAAUAUGGGGGGACCAUCCUCCAAGGCUAAAUACUCCUGACUGACCGAUAGUGAACCAGUACCGUGAGGGAAAGGCGAAAAGAACCCCGGCGAGGGGAGUGAAAAAGAACCUGAAACCGUGUACGUACAAGCAGUGGGAGCCUCUUUAUGGGGUGACUGCGUACCUUUUGUAUAAUGGGUCAGCGACUUAUAUUCUGUAGCAAGGUUAACCGAAUAGGGGAGCCGAAGGGAAACCGAGUCUUAACUGGGCGUUAAGUUGCAGGGUAUAGACCCGAAACCCGGUGAUCUAGCCAUGGGCAGGUUGAAGGUUGGGUAACACUAACUGGAGGACCGAACCGACUAAUGUUGAAAAAUUAGCGGAUGACUUGUGGCUGGGGGUGAAAGGCCAAUCAAACCGGGAGAUAGCUGGUUCUCCCCGAAAGCUAUUUAGGUAGCGCCUCGUGAACUCAUCUCCGGGGGUAGAGCACUGUUUCGGCAAGGGGGUCAUCCCGACUUACCAACCCGAUGCAAACUGCGAAUACCGGAGAAUGUUAUCACGGGAGACACACGGCGGGUGCUAACGUCCGUCGUGAAGAGGGAAACAACCCAGACCGCCAGCUAAGGUCCCAAAGUCAUGGUUAAGUGGGAAACGAUGUGGGAAGGCCCAGACAGCCAGGAUGUUGGCUUAGAAGCAGCCAUCAUUUAAAGAAAGCGUAAUAGCUCACUGGUCGAGUCGGCCUGCGCGGAAGAUGUAACGGGGCUAAACCAUGCACCGAAGCUGCGGCAGCGACGCUGAUGCGUUGUUGGGUAGGGGAGCGUUCUGUAAGCCUGUGAAGGUGUGCUGUGAGGCAUGCUGGAGGUAUCAGAAGUGCGAAUGCUGACAUAAGUAACGAUAAAGCGGGUGAAAAGCCCGCUCGCCGGAAGACCAAGGGUUCCUGUCCAACGUUAAUCGGGGCAGGGUGAGUCGACCCCUAAGGCGAGGCCGAAAGGCGUAGUCGAUGGGAAACAGGUUAAUAUUCCUGUACUUGGUGUUACUGCGAAGGGGGGACGGAGAAGGCUAUGUUGGCCGGGCGACGGUUGUCCCGGUUUAAGCGUGUAGGCUGGUUUUCCAGGCAAAUCCGGAAAAUCAAGGCUGAGGCGUGAUGACGAGGCACUACGGUGCUGAAGCAACAAAUGCCCUGCUUCCAGGAAAAGCCUCUAAGCAUCAGGUAACAUCAAAUCGUACCCCAAACCGACACAGGUGGUCAGGUAGAGAAUACCAAGGCGCUUGAGAGAACUCGGGUGAAGGAACUAGGCAAAAUGGUGCCGUAACUUCGGGAGAAGGCACGCUGAUAUGUAGGUGAAGUCCCUCGCGGAUGGAGCUGAAAUCAGUCGAAGAUACCAGCUGGCUGCAACUGUUUAUUAAAAACACAGCACUGUGCAAACACGAAAGUGGACGUAUACGGUGUGACGCCUGCCCGGUGCCGGAAGGUUAAUUGAUGGGGUCAGCGCAAGCGAAGCUCUUGAUCGAAGCCCCGGUAAACGGCGGCCGUAACUAUAACGGUCCUAAGGUAGCGAAAUUCCUUGUCGGGUAAGUUCCGACCUGCACGAAUGGCGUAAUGAUGGCCAGGCUGUCUCCACCCGAGACUCAGUGAAAUUGAACUCGCUGUGAAGAUGCAGUGUACCCGCGGCAAGACGGAAAGACCCCGUGAACCUUUACUAUAGCUUGACACUGAACAUUGAGCCUUGAUGUGUAGGAUAGGUGGGAGGCUUAGAAGUGUGGACGCCAGUCUGCAUGGAGCCGACCUUGAAAUACCACCCUUUAAUGUUUGAUGUUCUAACGUUGACCCGUAAUCCGGGUUGCGGACAGUGUCUGGUGGGUAGUUUGACUGGGGCGGUCUCCUCCUAAAGAGUAACGGAGGAGCACGAAGGUUGGCUAAUCCUGGUCGGACAUCAGGAGGUUAGUGCAAUGGCAUAAGCCAGCUUGACUGCGAGCGUGACGGCGCGAGCAGGUGCGAAAGCAGGUCAUAGUGAUCCGGUGGUUCUGAAUGGAAGGGCCAUCGCUCAACGGAUAAAAGGUACUCCGGGGAUAACAGGCUGAUACCGCCCAAGAGUUCAUAUCGACGGCGGUGUUUGGCACCUCGAUGUCGGCUCAUCACAUCCUGGGGCUGAAGUAGGUCCCAAGGGUAUGGCUGUUCGCCAUUUAAAGUGGUACGCGAGCUGGGUUUAGAACGUCGUGAGACAGUUCGGUCCCUAUCUGCCGUGGGCGCUGGAGAACUGAGGGGGGCUGCUCCUAGUACGAGAGGACCGGAGUGGACGCAUCACUGGUGUUCGGGUUGUCAUGCCAAUGGCACUGCCCGGUAGCUAAAUGCGGAAGAGAUAAGUGCUGAAAGCAUCUAAGCACGAAACUUGCCCCGAGAUGAGUUCUCCCUGACUCCUUGAGAGUCCUGAAGGAACGUUGAAGACGACGACGUUGAUAGGCCGGGUGUGUAAGCGCAGCGAUGCGUUGAGCUAACCGGUACUAAUGAACCGUGAGGCUUAACCU